RNAcentral lists this ribosomal RNA (440 nucleotides) under uncultured bacterium. Its description in RNAcentral is "bacterial SSU rRNA". It matches the Rfam family "Bacterial small subunit ribosomal RNA", at positions 338 to 790 of the family's 1533-position model. The record is from RNAcentral.
CCUACGGGGGGCAGCAGUGGGGAAUAUUGCGCAAUGGGCGAAAGCCUGACGCAGCGACGCCGCGUGAGGGACGACGGCCUUCGGGUUGUAAACCUCUUUCGGCAGGGACGAAGGGAAACUGACGGUACCUGCAGAAGAAGCACCGGCCAACUACGUGCCAGCAGCCGCGGUAACACGUAGGGUGCAAGCGUUGUCCGGAAUUAUUGGGCGUAAAGAGCUCGUAGGCGGUCUGUCGCGUCGGCUGUGAAAACCCGGGGCUCAACUCCGGGCCUGCAGUCGAUACGGGCAGACUAGAGUGUGGCAGGGGAGACUGGAAUUCCUGGUGUAGCGGUGAAAUGCGCAGAUAUCAGGAGGAACACCGGUGGCGAAGGCGGGUCUCUGGGCCAUAACUGACGCUGAGGAGCGAAAGCGUGGGGAGCGAACAGGAUUAGAUACCCCGG